UACGAAGGGGGCGAGCGUUGUUCGGAAUUACUGGGCGUAAAGGGCGCGUAGGCGGCGGGGUAAGUCUGGUGUGAAAUCUAGGAGCUCAACUCCUAAACUGCACUGGAUACUGCUCUGCUAGAGGACUGGAGAGGAGACUGGAAUUCACGGUGUAGCAGUGAAAUGCGUAGAUAUCGUGAGGAAGACCAGUGGCGAAGGCGGGUCUCUGGACAGUUCCUGACGCUGAGGCGCGAAGGCCAGGGGAGCAAACGGG
This 253-nucleotide ribosomal RNA is filed under the name uncultured bacterium. RNAcentral describes it as "partial 16S ribosomal RNA". It matches the Rfam family "Bacterial small subunit ribosomal RNA", at positions 524 to 776 of the family's 1533-position model. The record is from RNAcentral.